UACAGAGGGGGCAAGCGUUAUUCGGAAUUAUUGGGCGUAAAGGGCGCGUAGGCGGCUUGGCAAGUGGAAGGUGAAAUCCCUCGGCUUAACCGGGGAACUGCGUCUGAUACUGGAUGGCUUGAGUUUGGGAGAGGGACGCGGAAUUCCAGGUGUAGCGGUGAAAUGCGUAGAUAUCUGGAGGAACACCGGUGGCGAAGGCGGCGUCCUGGACCAACACUGACACUGAGGAGCGAAAGCCAGGGGAGCAAACGGG
This 253-nucleotide ribosomal RNA is filed under the name uncultured bacterium. RNAcentral describes it as "partial 16S ribosomal RNA". It matches the Rfam family "Bacterial small subunit ribosomal RNA", at positions 524 to 776 of the family's 1533-position model. The record is from RNAcentral.